CCUACGGGAGGCAGCAGUGAGGAAUAUUGGUCCAUGGGCGCUAGCCUGAACCAGCCAAGUAGCGUGAAGGAUGACUGCCCUAUGGGUUGUAAACUUCUUUUAUAUGGGAAUAAAGUGCAGUAUGUAUACUGCUUUGCAUGUACCUUAUGAAUAAGGAUCGGCUAACUCCGUGCCAGCAGCCGCGGUAAUACGGAGGAUCCGAGCUUUAUCCGGAUUUAUUGGGUUUAAAGGGAGCGUAGGCGGGUUGUUAAGUCAGUUGGGAAAGUUUGCGGCUCAACCGUAAAAUUGCAGUUGAUACUGGCUUCCUUGAGUACAGUAGAGGUAGGCGGAAUUCGUGGGGUAGCGGUGAAAUGCUUAGAUAUCACGAAGAACUCCGAUUGCGAAGGCAGCCUGCUGGACUGUAACUGACGCUGAUGCUCGAAAGUGUGGGUAUCAAACAGGAUUAGAUACCCAGGUAGUC
Molecule: ribosomal RNA, 460 nt
Filed under: uncultured bacterium
Lineage: Bacteria
Description: partial 16S ribosomal RNA
Rfam family: Bacterial small subunit ribosomal RNA
Source: RNAcentral